AAUAAGUGCAGUUUUGCACUAUUCACGUUCAACGUUUGACCGUUCGUCUUAUUUGAAAAUUUUUUAUGAUUAGUAUUUUUACUGCUAUUAGAUGAUAAAACAUAAAUAGUACUUUAUGUGUGGCUAAAUAUUUUUAAUUUUUUCACAAAUUUUUCAAAUAAGACGGACGGUCAAACGUUGGACACGGAUAUCCACAGCUCCACUUAUU
This is a non-coding RNA of Oryza glumipatula, 208 nucleotides long. Lineage: Eukaryota; Viridiplantae; Streptophyta; Magnoliopsida; Poales; Poaceae. The record is from Rfam.